Molecule: long non-coding RNA, 344 nt
Filed under: Capsella rubella
Lineage: Eukaryota; Viridiplantae; Streptophyta; Magnoliopsida; Brassicales; Brassicaceae
Description: long non-coding RNA (CRUB_LNC002342)
Source: RNAcentral
UUCCUUUUAUUUGUGUGUUUCUCUUUUUAAUUUGAGAGCUUUUAUGAAAUACAUAUGCAAGUUGAAGAAUAAAUAUGCAUGCAAGUUAUCAAACAGACGUGUGUCGUUGUGCUCGUAAUAUGUGUCCGUUAGUGGACGGACCUUCACUCGCAUGCAUAUGAUGUUUCUUUUUGUUUAUUUCCAUGAUACUUUAUAUUUAUUAUAAAUGCGUUAAACUAUAUUAUUCGACGUUUGAUGGAAAAAAAAAAAAAGGGUAUUUGCUCAAUCAACAACGUUUGGGUAUUUUGUAUAUUUUUAGAUCGUAAGAAUAGAGAUUUUUGAUAAAAUUUAUUAUAUAUACCGUC